CAGAUCUGGUUUUCUUCACAUAACUUUUGCCAUUUUUUCUCCGCCGAAAAAACUGAUAGCUCUCGCCUCUUCCCUUUUACCAUCUCGUCCGUUUCUUCAAUCUCUUUUUUUUUUAUCAUCUCGUCCAUCUCGUCUCCGUCGUUCCAUUAAUGGGUUUUUACAGAAGUUGAUUGAACACAGAAGAGAAGAAAAAUGUGAUGUUUUUACAUGUAAGAUUAAGGUUUCAAUGAGAAUCGGUAAUGAGAUAAAGAUUAUGGGUCUGCGGUUUAGAGAAAUUGAAUGAAAACAGGGAUAGUUGAUGGUCAUGGUGUCGAUCCGUGUGCUGAUUCAAACUCAACAGAAAGUUUCUUUGAAGGAUUUUGAUGCUUGGGUAUCCAUCAGUAGCUGAAAGCAAUCACCAGUUUGGGGCAAUUUUCUGCUUACCUUUUUUUUCCUCGUUUGAGCAAAUCUUAGUCAUCGUUUUGCUCUGUAUAACCCGUUUGAUAUAGUGUCUCACUAGCAAAUGUUAUGAAUUCCUUACGCUUAAAUCCUAUUUAAGAUAAUUUUCUACUUUCUCACAGUAGUUAACUAGUUAUAGUGGUGAAGAAGAUAUGCUCUCGUUUGAACUACAAAUUCUGCGUGUAACUAGAGAUUUCUGAUCUCCAAUCCAGUUCACAAGUGAAAUUAUCAAAAGUUCAAUGUUAAUUUUCCUUAGCUACACUUCAUAUUUCUUGGCCCUGUCUCUUUUUAAACAUUUAUGAAUUUCUUUUUUUAUUAAUAGUAAAAUGGGAAUGAUAUUAAGUUUCCUCAAUUUUUUGCAUUUCUGGUUGUAGUUGAGUAUUUGAGGAUUUGGAGUUGUGCUGUACGCAUUUUAUCUGAGAUGGUUGCAUUCAAAAUUAGUCCGUGGUUUGAAUAAACGCUGCAUGAAUUGAUUAUCCUUCCACCCCAAAAGACCUGAAUUAUUUGCUGGGAAGCUCCUCAGUCUACAGAAAGGUGUAUUGUUAAGGGUGAAAAUGAAAGUGGUUCGGAGAUGCUCAAAAGCUUGUUGCUGCCAUGUUCACUUUAGUUCAUAAGCUUCAAUCGACUAUUAUCUUUAUUGAUGAGGUUGAUGGCUUUUGGAGGCAUCGCCGUGCUACUGACCACGAAGCUUUGACAAACAUGAAAACAAAGUUCAUGGCUCUCUGGGAUGGUUUUACCACAAACCAUGACAGUAUGCAGGAUUGUCAUCUAGAGGCAGUUCACAUUUAGGCUUCCAAGGCUCUCCUCAGCCAGCGGUAGCAAUCUGAGGAGGAAAAUAAAUUUCGUUCAGUAUUUCAAGAACAAAUCUGCACCAGAUACUGAUGGACCUGGUUCUGCGUCUCUGAGCCUGGUAUGACAAGUAUCUGGACCAGGUCCUGAUGAGGAAGGGAGAAGCAGAGUCGCAGGAUGAUAAAUGAAAGUCAUCAUGGAACUUGGACAAGAACCACUAGUUGCACAGAUGAUCCAUCUUUUGUUUUGUUUUUUGUUUUUAUGCCAUCAGGUGUGUUCUUAUCAUGUCCCAAACUUUCCAAAGGCAUUUUUGGAUGUUGAUAAUCUUAGUUACCAGGUUUUUUUAACUAUCUGGGUGUUGUUCUGUUGCCCAGAUUUAAUUUUUUUAAACAGUUAAACAUCUUACUUUUGGAUAUGUAAGUUUCUAUGGUGUAACAAUGUAAAAACUUGUUAUGAACAGUAUAAGUUUCUGGUUCAGUGUGAAUGAUGCGAGUUUU
This is a long non-coding RNA of Papaver somniferum (opium poppy), 1724 nucleotides long. RefSeq lists it as uncharacterized. The transcript has 5 exons. The record is from RefSeq and is a predicted model, not a curated record. Lineage: Eukaryota; Viridiplantae; Streptophyta; Magnoliopsida; Ranunculales; Papaveraceae.